RNAcentral lists this ribosomal RNA (465 nucleotides) under uncultured Pseudomonas sp. Its description in RNAcentral is "bacterial SSU rRNA". It matches the Rfam family "Bacterial small subunit ribosomal RNA", at positions 338 to 795 of the family's 1533-position model. The record is from RNAcentral. Lineage: Bacteria; Pseudomonadati; Pseudomonadota; Gammaproteobacteria; Pseudomonadales; Pseudomonadaceae.
CCUACGGGUGGCAGCAGUGGGGAAUAUUGGACAAUGGGCGAAAGCCUGAUCCAGCCAUGCCGCGUGUGUGAAGAAGGUCUUCGGAUUGUAAAGCACUUUAAGUUGGGAGGAAGGGUUGUAGAUUAAUACUCUGCAAUUUUGACGUUACCGACAGAAUAAGCACCGGCUAACUCUGUGCCAGCAGCCGCGGUAAUACAGAGGGUGCAAGCGUUAAUCGGAAUUACUGGGCGUAAAGCGCGCGUAGGUGGUUUGUUAAGUUGGAUGUGAAAUCCCCGGGCUCAACCUGGGAACUGCAUUCAAAACUGACUGACUAGAGUAUGGUAGAGGGUGGUGGAAUUUCCUGUGUAGCGGUGAAAUGCGUAGAUAUAGGAAGGAACACCAGUGGCGAAGGCGACCACCUGGACUAAUACUGACACUGAGGUGCGAAAGCGUGGGGAGCAAACAGGAUUAGAUACCCUAGUAGUC